UAAAAAUUCAAUCAUCCACAUUAAUAAAAAAAAAACCAUCAUACGCGUUGAAUAACACCCAAAUUGAUGUACUUGUAUACCCAAGUAACUAAUUUAUGAUACCAAUCCCCAAAACUUACAAAAUUUAUAUACAAUCCUCAAAAUAUAUGCCUGA
This is a long non-coding RNA of Hibiscus syriacus, 154 nucleotides long. RefSeq lists it as uncharacterized. The transcript has 3 exons. NCBI's taxonomy places the organism in Eukaryota, Viridiplantae, Streptophyta, Magnoliopsida, Malvales, Malvaceae. The record is from RefSeq and is a predicted model, not a curated record.